This 420-nucleotide long non-coding RNA is filed under the name Homo sapiens (human). RNAcentral's name for it is "HSALNT0231035". Lineage: Eukaryota; Metazoa; Chordata; Mammalia; Primates; Hominidae. The record is from RNAcentral.
AAAUGUCAGAGAUAAAACUGGAAACCAGGAAGAAGAAAGGAAAAAAAGAAGAAAGGAAGGAGGAGAGAGAAGGAAGAAGGGCGGAACGCAUAGAGAAAAGGGGAAAGGAAUGAAGAAAGGAAGAGGAGAACUAAAGAAAGAGCAAAAUUAACUCAGAAGACGGAAUUAAUGGUUAAAUCAGUGGUGGUCAUACUAUCGACCAAACCCUGCCUAGCCACCUGAUUUUGUAUGUAAAGUCUUAUUGCAACACAGUGGUGCCUAUUCAUUUGCAUAUGGCCCAUGGCUGCUUUUGCAUGGAGUGGUUAUCACAAAGACUGUACGACCCACAAAGCUUAAAUAAAAUAUUUACUAUCUGGCCUUUACAGAAAAUGUUUGCAGAUGCUUGGACUCAAUGAUUGAUGGUUCCUUAGAAGAUAGGUC